Molecule: long non-coding RNA, 1015 nt
Organism: Onychomys torridus (southern grasshopper mouse)
Lineage: Eukaryota; Metazoa; Chordata; Mammalia; Rodentia; Cricetidae
Exons: 5
Source: RefSeq, a predicted model, not a curated record
UUCAUCUUGCUUAGCCUGCCAGCUCCUGGCCUCCUUCCACCCCCACUCGGCUUCCCACUGGCUUUAGGACCCGGAGGGCUGGGUAGGCUGGCCAGCCCAGAGUCAUCAGAUGCCAGGCUGCCUUCUUGGGCCCCUGACCUGUCCUCAGCACCAUCCAUGGAAGACCUUUACACCUUUCUGGGUCUCUGCUGAAUGUCACCUCCUGUUUGCGGCCCAGUCCUGUUCUCUGUGCUGUUUCUGUGGUUCUCCUUCCCAAGGAGCACGGACUUCUCACAGCGCCUGAACAGUCGCCCAUGUUUACCGUUAGCAGCUUGUCUUCGGCCAGCACCAUGAACACGCGGGAACCUUGAGAUUGAAUCUACCAGUGUGGUAUGAAGUUCCUACCGUAUUCUGGGUCCUGUCGUGGGUGUGGAAACCAUCAUGCCAGGCAGGUGGACACAGCUUGCUUUCUCAUGAUUCAAUGACAGAAGAUUUCUGCAGAGACCGAAGAAAACAGUCCCUCUGAAGGACUUAGUGCAACCUGCAGCAUCAGUGGGACCAGUCAGCAAACAAGCAAAUGGGAUCGUCUUCUGGCCCCAGCCUUCAUGAUGGAUCCUGGCCUCUCCCCAGAGGGUGAUGGCGGAGCCCAUCACACCUCUUCCAAGGUGCCCUCACCUAUCCACUCUCGACAACUCCCAUGCCUGGGAGCAGGUAGCAUCUGGGCAGUACCUACUAUGGGGAGGUGACUAGCGUAUCACCCUGGGUCCCCUGGCACAGGUUUCUUGGAUGCCAUCAGACCUCUGCAGACCUCAGGAGGGAUAAAGGUUGGUCCAAACUAGAUUUUAAGCUCUGGGCACAUUCUCAUUUUUUACUGAGAUUGUGGGGGAGAGGGGAAAAAAAGAGAGAGUGAAAAAUAGUCCCAUCUAGACUGUGCAGGGCAAAAGCAAUUUCCUCCCCAGAUCUCCUUUUCUGAUUCUCAGAAGAGGCAAUUUGGAAAUGUCCGGGCAGUUCUGGCUGGGGUGUGGACCAGACCACC